UACGUAGGGGGCUAGCGUUGUCCGGAUUUAUUGGGCGUAAAGAGCUCGUAGGCGGUCUGUCGCGUCGGCUGUGAAAACCCGGGGCUCAACCCCGGGCCUGCAGUCGAUACGGGCAGACUAGAGUGUGGUAGGGGAGACUGGAAUUCCUGGUGUAGCGGUGAAAUGCGCAGAUAUCAGGAGGAACACCGGUGGCGAAGGCGGGUCUCUGGGCCAUAACUGACGCUGAGGAGCGAAAGCGUGGGGAGCGAACAGG
This 253-nucleotide ribosomal RNA is filed under the name uncultured bacterium. RNAcentral's name for it is "partial 16S ribosomal RNA". It matches the Rfam family "Bacterial small subunit ribosomal RNA", at positions 524 to 776 of the family's 1533-position model. The record is from RNAcentral.